ACAACAGGUGGAGCCUGGCGGUUUAAUCGGACUCAACGCCGGGAAGCUCACCGGAUAAGACAGCGGAAUGAUAGCCGGGCUGAAGACUCUGCUUGACUAGCUGAGAGGAGGUGCAUGGCCGUCGUCAGUUCGUACUGUGAAGCAUUCUGUUAAGUCAGGCAACGAGCGAGACCCACGCCAACAGUUGCCAGCAUGUCCUCCGGGAUGGUGGGGACACUGUUGGGACCGCCUCUGCUAAAGAGGAGGAAGGAAUGGGCAACGGUAGGUCAGCAUGCCCCGAAUUAUCCGGGCUACACGCGGGCUACAAUGGUCAGGACAAUGGGCAUCAACACCGAAAGGUGAAGGCAAUCUCUUAAACCUGUCCUUAGUUCGGAUUGUGGGCUGCAACUCGCCCACAUGAAGCUGGAAUCUGUAGUAAUCGUGUCUCAAAAUGGCACGGUGAAUAUGUCCCUGCUCCUU
Molecule: ribosomal RNA, 459 nt
Filed under: uncultured Methanolinea sp.
Lineage: Archaea; Methanobacteriati; Methanobacteriota; Methanomicrobia; Methanomicrobiales; Methanoregulaceae
Description: bacterial SSU rRNA
Rfam family: Archaeal small subunit ribosomal RNA
Source: RNAcentral